This is a long non-coding RNA of Malaclemys terrapin pileata, 1201 nucleotides long. RefSeq lists it as uncharacterized. The transcript is spliced from 3 exons. The record is from RefSeq and is a predicted model, not a curated record. Lineage: Eukaryota; Metazoa; Chordata; Testudines; Emydidae.
UUCACUGAAUGUUGCUUAGAUCAAUACCACAACUUGCCGCGCUCUUCUGGGUCAUAGCUUCAGCCUUCACCCAGAUGCAAGAGGCUUCAAGAAUCAGCCUUAGCAAGGCUUUUUUUAAAAUGAUGUGUUAAAACCAACAAUGCGUGGAAUGGUUAAUGAAGAUGGCUGUGUACUGCAUUCAUGAGGCCGGAUGUCUUUCUACCAUCCACUCAUCAGACUACACCUGAAAGAGGAGGAAACGGCCAAAAGAAUAUGGUAUCGGAAUGUGUCAUCUCCAUUUCCAGCUGGAUUAACACCGGUGACAGAUGCUGGCAGGGAUCCCAACAUUGGUAUAUACAGCAAUCGCUUCAGCCGGGGCUGAAAUGCGGCCACCUCUGGGGCGGCGCAGCUGGGGAACAGCCACGCAGCUUCAUCCGGCGCUGAAAUGCAGCUGCCGACUGGCACUGCUAGAGAAUGUCUUUUAUCCCCUCUCCUGUGCAGCCACUAGGGGGAGAUAUGGUAACACAGGACUGGAAUGGCAGGGGGGCUGCAGGUGGGGAGUGAGGGGCAUUGACAGGGUGUGACGUUAUUGAUAUAAUCUGGGACCAUAUAGAACAUGGUUGCAACCAAAGUCCUGUAGUGGCACCAAAUCUUGUAAAAAGGGGGUCAAAUGAAGUUAGGGUUUGCUGGUUAUGAUUAUGCUGUCUAUAUGUGUGUCUCAAUUUUGUAGUUAAAAGUUGUGAAUAUUGGCUCUGUACUGUCUGUAUUUCAAACUUAUGCUAUGCUUCUGGGAGACAUCCCAGACAAGUUGGUGUCAGCUCUACCGCGGGGCCCUCUUGGCACGGGGCCCAUUAAGGACCAUCGGCUAUACAAUUGACCUAUGGAGAAAAGGCAAAUAUGCCUUGUAACUCAGGAACUUGCCCAUGUGACUCCAGACUCCAUUUUGCUGUAAUUUUCCACAGUAAGAACAAAGAGGUGUUCUUACACCUGGAAAAGACUAUAAAAGGCUGAUGCCUCGUCUCCAUCUUGUCUUCAAUCCUGCUUCUUACCUCUGGAGGGACUUUGCUACAAACCGAAGCUCUGAACAAAGGACUGAGGACCCAUCCCAGCAGGGGAUGUACUCCAGAGACUUGAUUUUGAACCUGCAGUUUAUUCUAUCUCUGCUACAAGCCUGAACCAAGAACUUUGCCAUUACUGUAUGUAAUUGAUUCCAUUUAACCAA